UACGUAGGGUGCGAGCGUUGUCCGGAAUUAUUGGGCGUAAAGAGCUCGUAGGCGGUUUGUCGCGUCUGCUGUGAAAACUCGGGGCUUAACCCCGGGCCUGCAGUGGGUACGGGCAGACUAGAGUGCGGUAGGGGAGACUGGAAUUCCUGGUGUAGCGGUGAAAUGCGCAGAUAUCAGGAGGAACACCGGUGGCGAAGGCGGGUCUCUGGGCCGUAACUGACGCUGAGGAGCGAAAGCAUGGGGAGCGAACAGG
RNAcentral lists this ribosomal RNA (253 nucleotides) under uncultured bacterium. Its description in RNAcentral is "partial 16S ribosomal RNA". It matches the Rfam family "Bacterial small subunit ribosomal RNA", at positions 524 to 776 of the family's 1533-position model. The record is from RNAcentral.